Molecule: long non-coding RNA, 653 nt
Filed under: Rosa chinensis
Lineage: Eukaryota; Viridiplantae; Streptophyta; Magnoliopsida; Rosales; Rosaceae
Description: sRNA RchiOBHm_Chr2g0175011
Source: RNAcentral
CGUAGAAACAGUAGGAGAUUACUCCGGAUUGGACAUGUAGCUCCCCGCGGUUUUGCUUGAUGCCAGAGGAAACUCUCUCUGAAAGUGCUUUAGCGUCGAAAGUCCUCUGCUUUGCUCUGCCUCAACGUCUACCACUGGAAUUGGUAUAUUGUACCACUCAAUGGUUCUUUGAUUGACCUUGCCUCAAAGCGUGCCUCUUGGUGGAAGGAUUUCUGGCGCAGCUCUUCGUUAGAUCUUGUCUCGCUGACGAGACUGCACUGGGCCUGAGAGCCCUUGGCCUAACUCAGCGAGCACCGCUUCCUCGAUCUUGGCGAAGGGAUUUUAGCGAUGAACUUCGCAUAGCCGUGCGUUCGCGAAAUGUCCUUGCGAGCAUUUGAUAACCCCUUGCCCCGCACCCGUUCGUUGAAUGUUACUGUUGAACUCAUUCUUCUCGCUGCCAUUCGCUCGCGGAGUAUUGGCUUCGCGGCCGCGAGCGAAAGCGAGCGGCCACUUGCUUAGUCUUCGCUAGCGGCCAUUCCUUCGCGGUCAUUCGCUCGCGCCCAUUUGCUUGCGGCCCCGCGCUCGUCUCGGUCGCUUGCUUUCGCUCGCGGCCACUCGCUUAGCGAUCGCUUGCUUAUGCGGUCAAUCGCUCGCGGCCAGUUGCUGAUGCGCCG